AAGCCCCAGCAGGAUGUCUGAGCAUGUGCACAAUAGAAGCCCCACCCAGAAAAUCAGCCCUGGUGAUGGGCGUGGUUAUGGAAAUCAGUCCUGGUGAUGGGCGUGGUUAUGAAAAUCAGCCCUAGUGGUGGGCUUGGCUAUGAAAAUCAGCCCUGGUGAUGGGCGUGGCUAUGAGAAUCAGCCCUGGUGGUGGGCGUGGCUAUGAAAAUCAGCCCUGGUGGUGGGCGUGGUUAUGGACAUCAGCCCUAGUAGUGGGCGUGGCCAUGAAAAUCAACCCUGGUGGUGGGCGUGGCUAUGAAAUCAGCCCUGGUGGUGGGCGUGGCUAUGAAAAAUGAGUCCUGGUGGUGGGCGUGGCUAUGAAAAUCAGCCCUGGUGAUGGGCGCGGUUAUAAAAAUCAGCCCUGGUGGUGGGUGUGGCUAUGAAAAUCAGCCCUGGUGGUGGGUGUGGCUAUGAAAAUCAGCCCUAGUGACGGGCGUGGCUAUGAAAAUCAGCCCUAGUGACGGGCGUGGCUAUGAAAAUCAGCCCUAGUGACGGGCGUGGCUGCGCAGCGCAUCUGCACAACCCAUGCGUGUCGUCGCGGAGCGGGAAAGAACACGAGCAGCCCUUCUCAUCCGCCCCGUGAGAGCUCUAGUGCUCGACAGGAGAGAUCGGGGCCGGUGGCUCUAAAGGAAACAGAGUCGCAAGACAUUCGGGAUGGGAUUCCGUGUCUGGAGAGUGAGGAUGAUGUUCCAGAAGAAGACGACUUCACUAAUAUUUGAAUCAAUGUAGAUGGUUGUACCGUACUUUAAAGAAAAAACAACACAUCCCCUGAAAAUGAGCCCUGGGGUGUCUCUGGAGGAAAGAUAAAUAGAAGACCUUGUGCUGUUUUCGGGGAAACACUGUAGGCUUUUGUAAGGGGUCCGUCACGAGGAAAGAGAGCUCACAUGUAAGUGCACCUGUUUUUCCGGGACACAGGGCAGUUUGUCAUGGAGCACCACACCCUCCCCGACGCGAAGUCCUUCAUCCUGACCCCGGACCACCUGGGGGGCAUCCAGUUCGACCUGCAGCUUCUCUGGAGUGCUCAGACCUUCGACUCCCCGAAUCAGCUCUGGAGAGCCACGAGCUCUUACAACAGGAAGGACUACUCGGGCGAGUACAGCAUCUACCUGGUCCCCUGCACGGUGCAGCCCACGCAGCCCUGGGCCGACCCCGGAGAGAAGCCGCUGCCCUGCACCGCGCACACCGCCGAGAGAUUCCUGAUUCCCAUCGCGUUCCAGCAGACCAACCGCCCGGUGCCGGUGGUGUACUCGCUCAACACCGAGUUCCAGCUCUGCAACAACGAGAAGGUGUUUGUCAUGGACCCCAGCACCUCCGGCAUGUCCCUGGCGGAGAUGGAUUACAAGGGGGCCUUCUCCAAAGGGCAGACGCUGUACGGCCGCGUGCUGUGGAGCCCCGAGCAGAACCUGCACGCGGCGUACCGGCUGCGGCUGGAGCAGGUGUACCUGUGCACCGGCCGCGACGGCCACGUGCCCUUCUUCGACCCCACCGGCACCGUCUACAACGAGGGCCCGCAGUACGGCUGCAUCCAGCCCGCGCGGCACCUGCAGCACCGCUUCCUCCUGCUGGACCGCAGCCAGCCAGAGGUGACGGAUAAGUACUUCCAUGACGUGCCUUUCGAGGCUCACUUUGCCUCUGAGCUGCCCGACUUCCAGGCGGUCAGCAGCAUGCCGGGCGUGGACGGGUUCACGCUGAAGGUGGACGCGCUCUACAAGGUGGAGGCCGGGCACGAGUGGUACCUGCAAGUGAUCUAUGUCAUCGGGCCGGACAGCGUCCCGGGGCCCCGUGUCCAGCGCUCUCUCGGGGUCCCCCUGGGGCGGCGGCGGCCCCGGAGGGACCUGGACGACCCGCUGGUGUAUGACAACGAGGGCGACCGAGUCAGGAACGGCACCAACAUGAAGUCCCUGAGCCUGGAGGGGCCCGAGCCGGCGGCGGCCGCCACCUCCCUGGCCCAGGCGGGCGCGUCCCUCGGCGGGGCCCUGGCCGCGGCCAUGCUCCUGCUCCUGGUGGCCCUGGUGGCUUGUGUGGCCACCAGGCAGUGCCAGGAGAGGAGGAGGAGGAGGAGGAGGAAGAAACAGCCCCCCGAGGAGGAGGAGGAGGAGGAGGAUGCUCUGCAGGCCCAGGCUCUGCGCAGCUGCAAGGUGGCGGCCGCGGGCAGGUGCAGCCCGGGCCGCGUGGAGAGGGACAGGGACAGGGGCUGCCCCGCGUGGGACGCCGGCCUCGGCGCCAGAGUGAGGAGGCUGAGCCCGGAGGCCAGAGCCCACGAGGAUCUGCAGGACGGGACGGAAGUGUGAUGGGCAGGGCCCCCACCCCGUGCAGUUUUGCUCUGCUCUGUUUUUCCCAGAGUCUCGGUGUUUUUUUUAUAUAAAGCUGGGGCCGGGUGGGGAGGGAGGGGGGAAAGGGGAAAUUGCUGGUAUUUUUGUAUCGGUCUUGCAGAGGGGAAAGAGGAAAAGAGAAAUAGAAAGGGAAGGGGACAGUCGAGGACGGCGGGCGCCACACCCGUAGGCUGGCAGGUGAGCUGCCUGGAGGAGCAGAGAACCACUUUCUGUAGGAUUAUUUCUGUAGGAUUAUUUCUGUAGGAUUCUUUUCUGUAGGAUUAUUUCUGUAGGAUUAUUUCUGUAGGAUUAUUUCUGUAGGAUUAUUUUCUGUAGGAUUAUUUCUGUAGGAUUAUUUUCUGUAGGAUUAUUUUCUGUAGGGUUAUUUCUGUAGGAUUAUUUCUGUAGGGUUAUUUCUGUAGGAUUAUUUCUGUAGGAUUAUUUCUGUAGGAUUAUUUCUGUAGGAUUAUUUUCUGUAGGGUUAUUUCUGUAGGGUUAUUUUCUAUAGGGUUAUUUCUGUAGGGUUAUUUCUGUAGGAUUAUUUCUGUAGGAUUAUUUCUGUAGGAUUAUUUCUGUAGGAUUAUUUUCUCUAGGAUUAUUUUCUCUAGGGUUAUUUCUGUAGGGUUGUUUCUGUAGGAUAAUUUUCUGUAGGAUAAUUUUCUGUAGGAUUAUUUUCUGUAGGAUUAUUUUCUGUAGGGUUAUUUCUGUAGGGUUAUUUUCUGUAGGAUUAUUUCUGUAGGGUUAUUUUCUGUAGGAUUAUUUUCUGUAGGGUUAUUUUCUGUAGGAUUAUUUCUGUAGGGUUAUUUUCUGUAGGGUUAUUUUCUGUAGGAUUAUUUCUGUAGGGUUAUUUU
This is a long non-coding RNA of Microcebus murinus (gray mouse lemur), 3202 nucleotides long. NCBI's taxonomy places the organism in Eukaryota, Metazoa, Chordata, Mammalia, Primates, Cheirogaleidae. The record is from Ensembl.